UUUUUAUUUAAUUUAUUAUUUUUUUUUUUUUAGGAAAACUUUAAUUAAAUAUUUUUGUUUUUCUUUUUGCUUUUCUUGCAACAUAAACAAUGUACCAAUGUUACCACAAAACACUUAUGUGUGAGCACAUAUUAUUUUAAUAAAACGGCUUAUAAGCAAUUGAAAAAAUAAACAUAUUAACAUAUUGACAAAUUAAUAUAUGAAAAUAUAAACAUAUAAAAGUAUAAAUAUGUAAAGGAAUAAACACUUAUGUAUUUAUCCCAUUGCAUAAAUACCUAUAUAUGUAUGUGCUUUUAUUUUUUUUUUGUUCUGCGAGUGUGCAACAAAAAGCAAUAAAGGAUUUAUCAAAUUAGAUAUAUAUAUAUAUACACACACAUAUAUAUAUAUAUAUAUAUAUAACAUGACAUUUUUCAUUAGUAAAAAACACCUACAACUGUUAUUUUUGUUAUUUAUUUUAAAUUUGUGUUACCCCAAUUAUUUUAAAACAUGUCAUUUGAAGAAAUUGUAUAGAAUGCUUCAUGAGAAAACGGGUAGGAAGAUACGUUUCAAUUAUAACAAUAAUAAUGUAAAAAAUUGUAUUACUACAUUAUGUAAAAAAAAAAAAAAAAGUUAUUUUUAUAUUAACAAACUAAAAAGAAAAAGUCGUGCAACUUAUAAAUAUAACAAGUAUAAAUUAUUUUCUCUUUUUUCAAUGUUUAAUAAAAAAGGUAAAAAAAAUGAUAACACAAUAAAUGAGUUAAACAAUAAAAAUGAAAAAAAACAAAACAGUGUAAAUAACAAUACCACACAUAUUGAUAAUAAUCAAAACGAGUUAUAUAAUGAUGAUAAAAAAGAUGAACAAAAAUUGAAGAACAUUAAAGAGGAGGUAAAUGGUUUAAGCAGUGUUAAUAAAGAUACACCUGAAGAACGUGGGGAUGGAGUGGACGGGGUUAAAUUGGAGGAAACGGUUGAAAGAAUCGACUCAGUUAGUGAUAGUAGCAAUGGUAGUAGCAGUAAUAGUAGCAGUAAUAGUAGCAGUAGUAGUAGCAGUAGUAGUAGCAGUAGUAGUAGUAGUAGUAGCAGUAAUAGUAAUAAUGGUAAUAAUGGUAGCAGCAAUGAUAUAGAAAAACAAAUUUUGCAUGAUAUUGGUAAACAUAUGGAAAUAGACAUAAACCUAGAUUUUAAAAACGCAUUUAAAAAUAUAUAUAUAUACAAGAAGCAUUUAGAAAAUGUUAAGGAUAAACUAAUAAGUGCCAUUAAUAUGAUAUUUCUUUCUUGUACUGUAUAUAUAGAAAAAAGUGAAGACAUAUAUUCUUUUUUUUUUACGUCGAUUUUUAACAUAUUUCAAAAUGCUUUUUAUAAAUAUACAUAUUUAGAACACAUAGAAAAUAUAAAUAACAAUGAGAUAAAAAAUAUAUAUAUAUAUAUUAAAAAUAAUUAUAAAACAUUUAUUGAAUUAAUUAACAUAAUGGAA
This 1453-nucleotide long non-coding RNA is filed under the name Piliocolobus tephrosceles (Ugandan red Colobus). Its description in RNAcentral is "lncRNA (ENSPTEG00000000335.1)". Lineage: Eukaryota; Metazoa; Chordata; Mammalia; Primates; Cercopithecidae. The record is from RNAcentral.